This 465-nucleotide ribosomal RNA is filed under the name uncultured bacterium. RNAcentral describes it as "partial 16S ribosomal RNA". It matches the Rfam family "Bacterial small subunit ribosomal RNA", at positions 338 to 795 of the family's 1533-position model. The record is from RNAcentral.
CCUACGGGCGGCAGCAGUGGGGAAUUUUGCGCAAUGCUCGUAAGAGUGACGCAGCGACGCCGCGUGAAUGACGAAGGCCUUCGGGUCGUAAAGUUCUUUCGACAGGGAAGAAAAUGCCUAUAAGUAACUGUGUAUGUAUUGACGGUACCUGUAUAAGCAGCCCCGGCUAACUCCGUGCCAGCAGCCGCGGUAAUACGGAGGGGGCGAGCGUUGUUCGGAGGGACUGGGCGUAAAGAGCACGUAGGCGGUGUUGUAAGUCAUUAGUCAAAGACUAGAGCUCAACUUUAGUAAGGCUAGUGAUACUAUAAUACUAGAGUAGCAGAGAGGAUUGCAGAAUUCCUGGUGUAGCGGUGAAAUGCGUAGAUAUCAGGAGGAAUACCGUUAGCGAAGGCGGUAAUCUGGCUGGAAACUGACGCUGAGGUGCGAAAGCGUGGGUAGCAAACAGGAUUAGAUACCCUAGUAGUC